GAGGGUUAGCCUAACGGUAAGGCAGCGGACUUGAAAUCCGCCGUCUCUCACGAGACAUGGGGGUUCAAAUCCCUCACCCUCCG
Molecule: transfer RNA, 83 nt
Filed under: bacterium
Lineage: Bacteria
Description: tRNA-Ser
Rfam family: tRNA
About the family: Transfer RNA (tRNA) molecules are approximately 80 nucleotides in length.
Source: RNAcentral